UGGCUCUCGCAUCGAUGAAGAACGCAGCGAAAUGCGAUAAGUAAUGUGAAUUGCAGAAUUCAGUGAAUCAUCGAAUCUUUGAACGCACCUUGCGCUCCUUGGCAUUCCGAGGAGCAUGCCUGUUUGAGUGUCUUGAAACUCUCAACUUCUUUGGAGUUUGUAAUGGACUUCUUAGCGAGUUGGACUUGGAGGUGUGCUGGCGUCUGACGUCGGCUCCUCUUGAAUGCAUUAGUGGGGCUUAGUGCUUGACCCAGUAGCGGUGUAAUAAUUAUUACCACUGCGAAACGGUUGAGACCUUCCUGCUUCUAACCGUCUGCAAGGACACUUUUCACUCUUUGACCUCAAAUCAGGUAGGACUACCCGCUGA
RNAcentral lists this unclassified non-coding RNA (367 nucleotides) under uncultured fungus. Its description in RNAcentral is "partial contains 5.8S ribosomal RNA and internal transcribed spacer 2". The stretch from base 1 to 133 matches the Rfam family "5.8S ribosomal RNA", at positions 22 to 154 of the family's 154-position model. The record is from RNAcentral. Lineage: Eukaryota; Fungi.